Molecule: ribosomal RNA, 468 nt
Filed under: uncultured bacterium
Lineage: Bacteria
Description: partial 16S ribosomal RNA
Rfam family: Bacterial small subunit ribosomal RNA
Source: RNAcentral
GACGAACGCUGGCGGCGUGCUUAACACAUGCAAGUCGAACGGUAAGGCCCUGUCUUGGGGGGGUGAGUGGGUAGCGAACGGGUGAGUAACACGUGAGUAACCUGCCCCUGAGGGUGGGAUAAAUUCAGGAAACUCGGGCUAAUACCGGAUACGAGUUCCUGAUGCAUGGGGUGGGAUAGCAAGUUCCGGUGGGGGGGGAGGGCCGGGCGGCUUAUCGGCUUGUUGGUGGGUGGGCGGCUUACGAGGGCUUGGACGGGCAGCCGGCCUGGGAGGGUGACCGGCCCCAUGGGGCCUGGGUUACGGCCAGGACUCCUACGGGGGCCAGCGGUGGGAAGUUUUGCCCAAUGGGCGGAGGCCGGAUGCAGCACGCCCGCUUGCGGGAGGACGGCCUUCGGUUUGUAACCCGCUUUCGCCUGUGACGAGGCUUGUGUGACGGUAACUGGUAAAGAAGCACCGGCUAACUACGUG